This is a transfer RNA of Schizosaccharomyces japonicus yFS275, 103 nucleotides long. It matches the Rfam family "tRNA". Rfam says of the family: Transfer RNA (tRNA) molecules are approximately 80 nucleotides in length. Their secondary structure includes four short double-helical elements and three loops (D, anti-codon, and T loops). Lineage: Eukaryota; Fungi; Ascomycota; Schizosaccharomycetes; Schizosaccharomycetales; Schizosaccharomycetaceae. The record is from Rfam.
GGCCUCGUGGCCUAGAAGUAAGGCGUUGGUUUCCGGUGAAGCCCUCUCAUCGCAAAGGGCUCAGGUUCGCCAAAGAUCGCGGGUGCAAAUCCCGUCGGGGUCG